GACGAACGCUGGCGGCGUGCUUAACACAUGCAAGUCGAACGGAAAGGCCCUGCUUGCAGGGUGCUCGAGUGGCGAACGGGUGAGUAACACGUGGGUGAUCUGCCCCUUACUUUGGGAUAAGCCUGGGAAACUGGGUCUAAUACUGGAUAGGACCAUGCUGUAGGUGGUGUGGUGGAAAGAUUAGUUUCGGUAAGGGAUGAGCUCGCGGCCUAUCAGCUUGUUGUUGGGGUAAUGGCCUACCAAGGCGUCGACGGGUAGCCGGCCUGAGAGGGUGGACGGCAACAUUGGGACUGAGAUGCGGCGCAGACUCCUACGGGAGGCAGCAGUGGGGAAUAUUGCACAAUGGGCGCAAGCCUGAUGCAGCGACGCCGCGUGGGGGAUGAAGGCCUUCGGGUUGUAAACUCCUUUCAGCCAUGACGAAGCCCUUGUGGUGACGGUAGUGGUAGAAGAAGCACCGGCUAACUACGUG
This 469-nucleotide ribosomal RNA is filed under the name uncultured bacterium. Its description in RNAcentral is "partial 16S ribosomal RNA". It matches the Rfam family "Bacterial small subunit ribosomal RNA", at positions 28 to 507 of the family's 1533-position model. The record is from RNAcentral.